Molecule: long non-coding RNA, 729 nt
Organism: Drosophila persimilis
Lineage: Eukaryota; Metazoa; Arthropoda; Insecta; Diptera; Drosophilidae
Exons: 3
Source: RefSeq, a predicted model, not a curated record
CGGAGCAAUACGGAAGGCUUGGCUCGUCUAGACGGUUUUUUGGGAUAUUUCCCAUGGAUAUAUGUAGAUAUCCUCGUUAGACGCGUCUCCCUUCUUGGCUAGAAGAGUCUCUGCUGGAGCUGUCUUCACUGGGUUUGGCUUUUUGUGUGCCUCGUCGUCCGAAGCACUAACCUCACUGCUGGAAAUAUCCUCCGAAGAACGAUCCUCAAUGGAGAUUAAGAUCACUGCUUAAGGCCAUGAAGCUGUGUGCGUGUGGUACGCCUACGUUUGUGGAAGUAAACAAGGAGGUCGGAUGCCAGUUUUUUCAGUCGGUUCGAAAUGUCCGGAGUUUUAAAGAUUCUCAACUGGUGGGGGCCGGCCCAUCAUCGUUGGCCUUCCCACAAAGGCAAACAAUCUGCUAAGAAAGUGCAAUUUUUCUCCAUUGAAAUCGGAUCGUUCGUCGGAGAUAAUUUCCAGUAUUGAGACUAGUACUUAGAGGACGAAGCCCGCCAAAAAGUCAGUCCAGAUGGCAGACUCUCAUCUCUCGCCACCCCUCGGGCGAUGAAACCAAAGGGCUCCAGCAAGGACUACGACAAUCGAUAAGGAAGAGCCUGUCAACAAGCCACAACUCUGAAGACAUCAGAAGAGAGAUACAUAGGUUCUGACCUAACGAACCAGUGGCUGCUUAAAUCUAGCAUAUGAAUGCCUGGCAGUGAGAGAACUUGAAUGAAAUAAAUGUAGAUUAAUGUA